Molecule: ribosomal RNA, 253 nt
Filed under: uncultured bacterium
Lineage: Bacteria
Description: partial 16S ribosomal RNA
Rfam family: Bacterial small subunit ribosomal RNA
Source: RNAcentral
UACGUAGGGGGCAAGCGUUGUCCGGAAUCAUUGGGCGUAAAGAGCGCGUAGGCGGCCCAGUAAGUCCGCUCUGAAAGUCAGGGGCUCAACCCCUGGAUGCGGGUGGAUACUGCUGGGCUAGAGUCCGGAAGAGGUGAGUGGAAUUCCUGGUGUAGCGGUGAAAUGCGUAGAUAUCUGGAGGAAUACCGGUGGCGAAGGCGGCAUCCUGGACCGACAUUGACGCUGAGGAGCGAAAGCCAGGGGAGCAAACGGG